RNAcentral lists this ribosomal RNA (800 nucleotides) under Latilactobacillus sakei. RNAcentral's name for it is "bacterial SSU rRNA". It matches the Rfam family "Bacterial small subunit ribosomal RNA", at positions 363 to 1155 of the family's 1533-position model. The record is from RNAcentral. Lineage: Bacteria; Bacillati; Bacillota; Bacilli; Lactobacillales; Lactobacillaceae.
CUCCCAAAAGGGAAGAAAUUUUGAUGGACCAACCCCCCCUUGAGUAAAAAAGGUUUUCGGAUCGUAAAACUCUGUUGUUGGAAAAGAAUGUAUCUGAUAGUAACUGAUCAGGUAGUGACGGUAUCCAACCAGAAAGCCACGGCUAACUACGUGCCAGCAGCCGCGGUAAUACGUAGGUGGCCAGCGUUGUCCGGAUUUAUUGGGCGUAAAGCGAGCGCAGGCGGUUUCUUAAGUCUGAUGUGAAAGCCUUCGGCUCAACCGAAGAAGUGCAUCGGAAACUGGGAAACUUGAGUGCAGAAGAGGACAGUGGAACUCCAUGUGUAGCGGUGAAAUGCGUAGAUAUAUGGAAGAACACCAGUGGCGAAGGCGGCUGUCUGGUCUGUAACUGACGCUGAGGCUCGAAAGCAUGGGUAGCAAACAGGAUUAGAUACCCUGGUAGUCCAUGCCGUAAACGAUGAGUGCUAGGUGUUGGAGGGUUUCCGCCCUUCAGUGCCGCAGCUAACGCAUUAAGCACUCCGCCUGGGGAGUACGACCGCAAGGUUGAAACUCAAAGGAAUUGACGGGGGCCCGCACAAGCGGUGGAGCAUGUGGUUUAAUUCGAAGCAACGCGAAGAACCUUACCAGGUCUUGACAUCCUUUGACCACUCUAGAGAUAGAGCUUUCCCUUCGGGGACAAAGUGACAGGUGGUGCAUGGUUGUCGUCAGCUCGUGUCGUGAGAUGUUGGGUUAAGUCCCGCAACGAGCGCAACCCUUAUUACUAGUUGCCAGCAUUUAGUUGGGCACUCUAGUGAGACUGCCGG